This is a long non-coding RNA of Drosophila sechellia, 562 nucleotides long. RefSeq lists it as uncharacterized. The transcript is spliced from 2 exons. The record is from RefSeq and is a predicted model, not a curated record. Lineage: Eukaryota; Metazoa; Arthropoda; Insecta; Diptera; Drosophilidae.
GCUUAAAAACUGACAGUCUAUUAAGCUUAUAAACGGGUGGAUGGACAGACAGUUGGACAUACGGACCUAUCUAUAGCGACUGGGCUGGAUACUUCAAGGACAACAGACGUUUGUUGACAUCACUGGUUCCCAUUUGGGUUUCUCACUGUAUAAAUUAAUUAGUCAUAUUGGACAUUCCUUUAAUCUCAACGUACACUUGCCAUUUAAAAAGUUUAUUGGGCGUCUUGUGAAACAAGAAACAAGUCAAUUUCAAAACCUACAUAUAAGACGCAGGCGAUAUCAGUGCUCAGCAGUUCUACGCAAAAAUCUAUAAAUAAGACAUAGAAGACAAUGACGCCAGAUAAAAGUGCAGGUGUUGAUUUAGUAUCGAUCAAAUAAAACACUUAAGCGUACAGUAUAUUAGGAUUUCUCUCAAAGAAAUGUUAACAAAAUCGACAAAAACAAUAGAUAUCGCUAUAGUCGAGUUCCCUGACAAUCCGUUACUAAUUUAUACAUUUUUCUGCCAAGCCAAUAAAAAAUGGGACAAAAAUAUUGAGUUGAAUAAAGAUUUAAAAUUUUUUUA